GGAAUAUUGCGCAAUGGGCGGAAGCCUGACGCAGCGACGCCGCGUGGGGGAUGAAGGUUUUCGGAUUGUAAACCCCUUUUGUGAGGAAAGAUAAGGUAGGUAACUGCCUGGACGGUACCUCAAGAAAAAGCACCGGCUAACUUCGUGCCAGCAGCCGCGGUAAUACGAAGGUGGCGUGCGUUGUUCGGAGUUACUGGGCGUAAAGAGCACGUAGGCGGUUGGGUAAGCCUCUUGGGAAAUCUCCCGGCUUAACCGGGAAAGGUCGAGGGGAACUACUCAGCUAGAGGACGGGAGAGGAGCGCGGAAUUCCCGGUGUAGCGGUGAAAUGCGUAGAUAUCGGGAAGAAGGCCGGUGGCGAAGGCGGCGCUCUGGAACGUACCUGACGCUGAGGUGCGAAAGCGUGGGGAGCAAAC
This 413-nucleotide ribosomal RNA is filed under the name uncultured bacterium. Its description in RNAcentral is "bacterial SSU rRNA". It matches the Rfam family "Bacterial small subunit ribosomal RNA", at positions 358 to 773 of the family's 1533-position model. The record is from RNAcentral.